This 551-nucleotide long non-coding RNA is filed under the name Dromaius novaehollandiae (emu). RNAcentral describes it as "lncRNA (ENSDNVG00000014446.1)". The record is from RNAcentral. Lineage: Eukaryota; Metazoa; Chordata; Aves; Casuariiformes; Dromaiidae.
AUUCAACCUCCUGCCUUUUGUGUCUCUUUACCCGUUAUCGCAGUUUCGUUUACCUAAUUUUUCUCUGUGUACUAAAAAACAGGUGUGGAGCUGUUAAGAUUCUCUCCCAACCAUAUUCUUAAUUUCAGUUUCAUCGUUUCAUCUCAUAAGACCUGUCUAUGCUGAUUUUAGCAUCUCAGUACUCCAAGGACAUAUAGAAGCCUCACUGAUGAGAAGGUACAGAGAUGCCUUUUCUGCUGCCAAGACUGAUAGACCUUCAGGGCACAGGAACCCUGCCCUUAUCCUGUUGCAAGCCCAAAAGCAUGUGGUAAUAUGUGUGGGUCCAAAGUCUUCGUGUUUGUAGUGGGAAGCAGACAAUCUAGCCUACAGUGUCUAUACGUAUCUGGCAGAAUGCUGCAUUACAGCCAGCUUCCAUGAGGUUUGUAUGCAGGGCAAAAACCAAAGUCCACUGAACUCACUGAAUGCUGAAAAAGACCAGCAAUAUCUGAAAAAAGACAAUAGUUGAGUACAUUUAAAAGACAGAUUAAACCUACCAAAACACACAAGAAUCU